CUUCAGUGCACAACUGCGGGCAGAUAAAGUGUACAUGAGCGUCAAAGCCGCCAGCAGUCAGGAUCAGACCCUCUCCAGCGAUCACUUCGGUGUUCACGCCCACAAUAAGGUUCGGCAUCACACCCUCCAUCACGUCUGGGUUGCCACCCUUGCCGAUACCAGCGAUAAGACCAUCCUUGAUACCCACGUCAGCUUUGUAGAUACCAGUGUAGUCCACAAUCAAAGCAUUCGUGAUGAUCGUAUCCACAACUUGAGCGGAAGUCUUCCCAGAUGCUUGGCCCAUGCCUUCACGCAG
This 295-nucleotide small RNA is filed under the name Phytophthora megakarya. Its description in RNAcentral is "5' ureB small RNA". It matches the Rfam family "5' ureB small RNA". Lineage: Eukaryota; Oomycota; Peronosporomycetes; Peronosporales; Peronosporaceae. The record is from Rfam by way of RNAcentral.